UACGGAGGAUGCAAGCGUUAUCCGGAUUCAUUGGGUUUAAAGGGUGCGCAGGCGGGCUUGUAAGUCAGUGGUGAAAUAUUGUCGCUUAACGAUAAGGUUGCCAUUGAUACUGCAGGUCUUGAGUUUGGUUGAGGUAGGCGGAAUGUGCAGUGUAGCGGUGAAAUGCUUAGAGAUUGCACAGAACACCGAUUGCGAAGGCAGCUUACUAAACCAAAACUGACGCUGAGGCACGAAAGCGUGGGAAGCGAACAGGAUUAGAUACCCUGGUAGUCCACGCCGUAAACGAUGUUCACUCGCUGUUUGCGAUAUACAGCAAGCGGCUUAGCGAAAGCAUUAAGUGAACCACCUGGGGAGUACGAUCGCAAGGUUGAAACCCAAAGGAACUGACGGGGGCCCGCACAAGCGGAGGAACAUGUGGUUUAAUUCGAUGAUACGCGAGGAACCUUACCUGGGCUUAAGUGUAGAGUGCAUGCGGUGGAAACACCCUUCCCUUCGGGGCUCUCUGCAAGGUGCUGCAUGGUUGUCGUCAGCUCGUGCCGUGAGGUGUCGGGUUAAGUCCCAUAACGAGCGCAACCCCUACCGUUAGUUGCCAACAGGUCAAGCUGGGGACUCUAGCGGGACUGCCACCGUAAGGUGAGAGGAAGGUGGGGAUGACGUCAAA
Molecule: ribosomal RNA, 661 nt
Filed under: uncultured prokaryote
Description: bacterial SSU rRNA
Rfam family: Bacterial small subunit ribosomal RNA
Source: RNAcentral